This is a long non-coding RNA of Dunckerocampus dactyliophorus (ringed pipefish), 7033 nucleotides long. RefSeq lists it as uncharacterized. The transcript is spliced from 3 exons. Lineage: Eukaryota; Metazoa; Chordata; Actinopteri; Syngnathiformes; Syngnathidae. The record is from RefSeq and is a predicted model, not a curated record.
UCGCUAGCUUACUUGCUUGCUAGCUAGCAGCUUGUAAAUUAAUCUUCCGUUCGAAGGACUGCAGCAGUAUGUUUUAACAAGGAUACAAAAAUGCUAUACUGUAGUACAGCGGAACGGCGGGAGGACGAAAAGUCACAGCAGAAAAAAAAAUAUGCUAAGUGUGUAGCAGCAAGUGGUUCACCUUAGUGGUGCUGAACUGCUUCCCAAGCCGAACUCUGCCACCCCCUCUGCGGGUGUAGCCCAGGGUCUUCUUGCUUUUGGGCGCCGUCACGUCACCGUUUGGAGGUGAGGGAGAAGCUGUGCCCCGCCAGCUCAUAUGCUUGGCAUUCCAAUGCUUCCAGUUUGGCUUGCAUCACAUGUUUUUGUCUUUCACACUCUUCUACACUGAAGCCCACCCCGUUGAGUUCCAGCAGAGCCAGACACACUUGGCAGGGCAUCUCCACCCUCCUGAAGGAGUCUGCACAUGAGGCAUCAGGACACAUCAUGUACAAAAUUACGAAGAGUCUAUUUUUCUAUUCUUUUCAUACCCAACAUGCCGUCUUUCUCUAGUAGAAUGCUAAGCUUGUUCAUGACAGCGUAUACGAGCACGCUCGUGGUGGCUGCCCUCACCCGAGGACAGUAUGCGUGUGCGUUCCCAAGCCCGUCCAACAGAGGAAGCGCUUCCGGACAAUAAACAGUCACCAUGUUUGGCAGAGUCCUCUCCUCACUGCCAGGGUCCAACAGCCAGCAUGCCACCUUGAGGAAGACAGUAACUGCUUUGGUGCAGAUAGUCAUUUUAAUUUACAGAUAUCAGAUAUGCAAAUCUUUCAUGGAUUAAAGCAGUUCCUCUGUGUCUUAAUAACAUGUCUGUGACAUGCUUCAGUCAAAAUACUUAAAGAGAAAAAUACAGCACACAUAAAAGCCCUCUCUUAACAGCCCUGUUCAGAGCAGCUGGUUUUGGGGGAACCUGAAGCGUCAGACAGAGCUCGCAUGUGCAGCAUAUUACGCGUUAUCCCUGUGAGUAAGCAUUAUCCUUUAUUUUGUUAAGGGAUUAUUUAUUUCUGUGUUUACUGUAUCUGGGAUAAAAAGUAAAGUUAAUUUCAGCAUUUUCCACCAAUUUCCUCAUGCCUAAAGAGCAUAGUUCUCUCACCUUGGGGUCUUCACAGUUUUCCUCCAAGCUGACAUCACAGCUCAACACCAGCAUCUUGUACGCCUGAAUGAUGUCAUACGUAACCACUACACUCCCUUUAGCUGAUGGCCUACUGAGACGUCCCUUCACGUGUUCGAGCCGCUCACCUACAGAUAAACUCUCAUCCAGGGCGGGAGGGGCAAGACUCAAACUCAAACCUGAGAAGCAGUGGAAAGUUUCUUGUCUGUGGUAAGUAUAUGUGCAUAAAUGUGUGUGUGUGUGUGUGUGUGUGUGUGUGUGUGAGUACCUUGGCUCUGCUCUCGCUGAAAGGAUAUGUAGUAAGCAUCUCUAGCUCCCCAGCAGAUAGACAGUCCAAUCAGCACUGAUCCAUCACUGCCUCUUACAGGGAAACCAUCAGCACCAUGGAGCUUCUGGUGAACUGUUUACAUAAAAGACAUGCACACUGUAAAACAAACAUUCUAUUCACAUUUUUCUGAAAGAAAAAUGCAUCUGCAUUGAUCACCUUUCUUAUGUUUCCCUCCAAUUUCCCCAUCUGACAUAUGCUGGUGCUCCUUCUCCCAGGCUAAAGCUAGAGCGUAUCGCUCUUUAGUUUUCCACUCCUUGACGAAGGUGUGGAAAAGCCUUCUGUCACUGGACACGUCAAUGAUGGAGAAGGCGCUGCUGGAAUUGGUGGAGGAAAGCGAUGCAUCUUGGGAGAGCUGGAGAGAGAAGCCCUGGUAGGAGUCCGGUGGUGUGUGCUCACAGGGAGGCUGCAGCUGUGUGGUAUUCACAGGUGGAGGAGGUUCUGGUUUGUAUUUUGGAUGAGCUCCUGGUUGGUCAUUAUUGGGACACUUAGAAGUUUUCUCGGGCAGAAGACCUGAGGGAGUCGACUGUUUGAGCGGAGGGAUGGCGAGAGGCGACUGAAUAGAAGUAGUAGUUAGUUUUAUUCUGGGCGUCACAGGCGGUGUCUCCGGAGUGGGUGGUAUAAGGUCCCUGGCAGAGUCUGGCCUCUCUGUUACCGUCUCAGUGACCUCUCUUGAUGGUUGUGAUCCUACAGAGUCCCUCUCAGGGUCAUGAGUGAUUGCCACCUGCGUACGCGGUUGACCUCUAUCUGGAGAAUGAACGGUGCUUAAAGGAGGAUUUUGGCUGUUACUGCCUCUUUGGGCCAAUGUGCUGUUUUGCACAGGCUGAUCAGACAUACUAGGCCAGCGGUCAAAGAUCUCCUGCAGACCAGGACUGCAAUAAAAGCUGCUCUCAGCUGCAAUAAUGACUUCUGGUACAGACGUGGGUCCAUCGUCCUUUUCUCCGUUUCCCAUGUGUUUUGAAACUUCAGCUUCAGCUUCACUUUGUGGCCCAGCUUGUGCAGGUGACGGCUGCUCUUCAGGAAGAACAUGACCUUCCAGAUGGCCGCCCUCCUGCCUCUCUAAAAAGUGUUCGCCCACCAGCAGUGAGUCUCCCCACUCUGACAGGUUGAAAGAUGAUUCUCCCCACUGGAUGGCCUCGUGCUUCUCUGCUUGCUGGUUGACAAGCAGCUCACUGCGGCGUUGCUCUUGUGUAGACAACAGGUGGCGUCCGCAUUCGGUCUCCUCGUUGACUGAUUGGUCAAGGUCAGCUUGAUAUGGGCUCAGAGAGUUCUCAUAUAGACUGUCAAACAAGAAGCUGCUGCUUCGGUUUGGAUUCUCUAGAGCAGCAUUAGCCGCUUCAUUGUUACUCCGAUCUGCAUUAUUGCCACCUUCAACAGGAGAAUUCUGCAAAAACAUGAGAAAAUUGCCUUUAAAUCUCCUCUAUUAUGAAAAAAAUGACCUUUUAAUGAAUUUCUAAUAUGUGCCCGUAGAGCCUGUUCAUGAGCAACUAACUAGAAAAAUCUAUCAUCACCCUCACUUGUUUGCGCCACUUCAGGAGGUAAGAGCCGUUCAAACGGUCACCUUGAAGGCCGGGUUUUCAUGACAUCAUGAAAGAAAAACCUUCCUCAUGGACUGCCUCUGGCCCACCCUUAGCUAGAUAAGCCCCGCCUCACGUAUAUGCCUGAGAGGCUUCUCUACACAACUUAAAACCAAGCCUGGUGCUCUACCAGCUAUCCAUCAGUCAGCUCAAGAUAUGGGAGCUAUAAGUGUGAUCAUUGUGUUUUUCUUCUGUGAAUAGGCUAACCUGGCAUGAUGUUGCUAUGCUAUGCUAUAUUUGUGUUACAUUGUUUUAUCUAAUAUAUACAGUACAUUGUUUAUCAUUUGGUGGAAAAAUGUCAAAAAUAUGGUGUAGUUGUCAUGAUCGUCACUCACCUGACCACUGGUGUCCAGGAUGAGAUCCAUCUGACUGUCUGUCAGAGAAAUAUUGAACUGGGGGCAUGUAUUGUCCUGGGCUUGAAGUCCGGUUCUUCCCUCAUCUUUGUCCUUCUGCUCCACAACUGCUUCUACCAUUUCCUCAUUGUGUAUAUGACCUGCUCCUUUUAAAUCCUGCUGAUGUCUUUUAUCAUCACUGCGUUCUAAUCCCGGCUGGACAGUUAUCAUUCUUUCAGUCUGCGUGUCCAAUUCAAAGCUGUCGCCAAAUGUCUGUUCCUGCUGUUUGGUGUCAGGCUGCAUUUCUUCAUCUCCUGCGUAAAGGUCAGGAGAUGAAAACAUGUCCACCUCUGCGCCCCGCGCCCUCCUUCGCUUGGCUUCAGGUGACAAUAAUGGGUCUGAGGCAGCACUGGAGUCUGCUUUUUUCUCCUGCGGAAGAGUUUUUUGGGCGGGAACAGGAGCUACCUCAGCAGGAUCAUGUGGCCGUUUGUCUGUUUGUAUGGAAUGGAGAACUUUGUUUAGGAUCUGCGAAUGCUUCAGUUUUCCUGGCUGCACAGGAGAGACACCGAGCCUUGAAGUACUACCAACUUCUGAUGUCUUUGUGGCAAAACUGCGGUGUUCUUCUAACCUGGAAACUGGGGCUCUUAACUGAGGAAGAGGCACCGAAGGGAGAUCUGGUUCAGGCAGUUGUUGAGGUUGAAGUGCAGGGCUGGACACAAUGUCAGCCAGUUCUUGUGUCAUACUCCUUGGAAGCCCAACAGGCCCAUGUGCAUCCUUCUUUCUGACUGAAAAUUCACUUGUGCCUCCUUCGUACUUUCUAUUCUCCCUAUUCUCGUCAUUCUUUUCCUUCUGUAGCAUUAAAACUUCAAUGCCUGAUUUGUUCCUUGCACUCAAAUCUUCCUGUCUAUGCUCCUCCAGUUUUGCCUCAACUUCUAUCACCUCAGAGCCUGAAGUGGGAAGUGUCACAUUCUCUUUUCCUGGUUCUCCUUGUUUCAUGUGUUCAUUUUCUUCUUUAUUGCUCUGUGAAAUAACAUCAGCACCCACAGUUUUGUUUCUCCCUCCCUCUUGGCCUUGUUGUGAACUAUGGACAGCAGAAGCACAAGGGGGAACCAUUGACGGGUGCCACUGAAUGCCCAGCAGUGCCAGGUCUCCCUGAAGCAGGAGCUUUGCCUCGGACACAAUCGCAACAGCUGCUUCCUGCUCUGUCAGGGCCUGCCCUCCGCUAACCCACACACAACGGAGGUUCCGGCGCUCCACGGCUUCCACCUCGCUCUCAUCCACUGCACGCUUGGAACUGAGGAAGUAGACAGUAGACUUUCUGCUAAGGUCAUGGUGCAAAAUCGUUAAGUGGUUGUAAUUAAGCAGAUCCUCUUCAAGGGUUAAUAUUGUGGCCACACAUACAGUAUCCCUCAAAAGUCAGUACUUCCCCCACAUUUCAGCAACCAGUGGAAUUAAAGUACCGUACAUUAUAUCUUCUUGAGGGACAACUCUAUAGAAAUGAAACCACAAUAGGCUUUAGGAGUAGUACAGCUUGUACAGUACAGCAGGAUAGAUUUACUAUCCACUGACAAUGAGUCGACACAAAGCCAGUAUUUUCUACAUAGCUGGAAACAUCAGUAGACUCUCUUGCCUAUAGUCAAGCAUAGUGCCAGCGGCAUCAUGGCUGCAUGACUGCUUCCACCACUGUGGAGCUGCGGUUCAUUGUGGGGAAACAUGAAUUCCAACAAGUACUGUGAUAUUGUGAAGCAGCGCAUGAUCUCAUCCCUUGGAAAACUGGGCCACAUGGCGGCUUUCCAACAUAACAAGUCCCAACACACCUCAGAGAUGACAAAUAACUUGCUGAGGAAGCUUAAGUAUGUCUCUAGUAGUGAUGUCUGGCUCGAUAUUGAAAUAUCAAUACCUCCAAUACCAGAUCCUUAUGCUCUAAGAUCGAUUUUCAAAUCAAAAUAUCGAUACUUUGAUGCUAAAGUCAUUUGUGGUAUUGUAUAUCAUUAACAGGAACACAGUGGAAAGUAACUAAAUGACACUUGUCUAAAUGAUAUGCAGUUGGUGGAACUACUUUUUCUUGCGCCUGGGUAAGUGCAUAAUGCGGAAGCGCAGCAGCACACUGCUCAGUCGGUCAGUGUCAGUUUGUUGAAAUGAUGGCCAAUCGUAAACAAAGCCAUGUGUGAAUUGUGAAUUAAUUUUCAUUCUUAUAGUAGGUUUUAAUAAUUAAUUUAAAUGGUUGUGUUAUUUCAAUUCCUUUUUUAUUUUUGUUAGUGUGUGAAACAAUUUUCGCACAUUUUAUAUGAUUUUGACCUCUGUUUUUUCUUUUGUAUACUGUAAUAGCUUGGCUACACUCUAAUACAUCAAUAUACUUAAGAGUUUUAAAUAAAUGAAUAAGCAUACUCUGAUGUAUUUUUUUCUUUAUGUUAUCAGCUAUGCUAUGAUUUCAAAUGAUUUCACUAGUUUUUAAAAUUUACCAGACACAUUUGGUAAGUAUUGGUAUUGCCAAUACCAGUCUGAAUUUUACUCUGUAUCGGAUCAGAAAGGAAAUCAGUGGUGUCGCACAUCACCAGUCUCCAGAUUUGAAUUUACUUGAGGACCUGUACAGUAUCCUCAGGCGGAAGGAGAAGAAGAAUAAGGUGGAGGAGGGCAAGGUGUCUCACAUCCAGCAGCUCUGCCACUGAUGUUAUCAGGAACGAGUGGAAGACGAUUCCAGUAUCAACCUGUGCAGCUCUGGUGAAUUCAAUGCCCAAGAGGAUGAAGGCAGUGUUAGAUAACAAUGGUGCUCACUAAAUAUUGACACAUUUGUGUGUUUACUUAUUUUCAGUGGCUAGUAAAUUUAUUGUGCAUUCAAAGCUGCACGUUGACUACUCUAAGUUAUAUCACAGUUUCACUUCUAUCCAGUACUAUCGUCCCCUCACAACAUAUAAUAAAAUGGUUGUUGAAAUGUGAGGCGUGUACUCACUUUUGUAAAACAGUCAGCGUGUUGCCAAAAGAACCAGCCUUCAUGCAUGUUUUAUGAACACUCAUACCACAGCUACCUCUUAAAUGGGACAGCGUUCCUCAGGGCUUUCUCCACUUCAGCGACUGAAGCUCUGGCUAGUUCGGCGACAGUGCACAGACCUUGUGCAUAGAGUGCUCGGGCCCGUGUCGCGCUGAGGAGGGAGACCCUCACCAAAUCCACCAGCUCGCGUUGGACACCGAAACUCAGUCUGGUCUGGUACUGGGACAGCAGCAGCUCCAUGUUGCCCCAACCCAGACGCUUGCAGAACACUGUCACCAUACCUGAGGGAUGGAUGUUGAAUGUUGCAGUCAUUAAAUAAUCAUGACAUUUAGUUGCAAUAAUGUGGGUUGUUAGCAACUGCCCUGAUCAACUACUGUAUAUCAACUGCUUUUAAUACAAUGCCGAUUUUGUAUGAGUACGUACCUGCAUAUGUAGCAGCAGAUUGCUGGAGAGACUGCAACUGCCCACGGUUGCAGUUGUAUUUUGAUGCAACUGCCCCCAAAGGCACCUCAUUCACCAGAUCCUGCAGUACAAGAGUGGUGAAGAACCUGUGUGGGGAUAUCAACCCAUAUAUAUAUCAUUUAUCAUCUCCAACAUGUUCUGCAUUCAGUACAAGAAAUAUAUAAUUUACAUACUGUAAAUACACAACAAUGUUACCGUUUA